GCACAUCCACUCGAGUAUGUCGUGACCACAAAAACGAAGAACGUCGAGCAGGUCGCUGAGUAAGAACCGAAGCCGCCAUUGUUGGUUCGUUCGUACACCAUCGAUGGGGUCUCAAUGUCGGGUCAUGGGGCUUAACUAGAUCGCGAGGAAGGUGAUUAUGGCCUCGCCUGGUGGAAAUUCAUAGUGGAGCACCAGAGAUUGCUCGUCGGAAUUCUUUCUCCAUCGUGGAGCCGAUGGCCUCCAUGGCAACAUUGCUCCCACCACUAUAUCUGAUCAUUUUAUUAAUUGGAACAUGGAGCGACCACCCGAGACAACAAUGCUAUCACAAUGGUGGAAUGGGAUGAUGUUGGCUGAUUAAUUAGGAAAGCUAGCAUGUGAGAAUUCUUUCUCAAAAGGGGCAAGCGUGGAGGAGUUACCACAAGUACAGGGAGGUUCUCGGGUCAAGCUGUCUAUGAUAGCUUUCUGGACAAGGGAUUCUAUACCCCCUCUGCUUGAAACCAUAGCAACUUUUCUGAUGCUAGUGAAACUUUAUAAAGGCCUCGUAGUGUGUCCUCGCCAACUCACCUUGGAAAUGUUUAAGGGUCUGCACAACCCAAUGCGAAAAGGGAACACGACUUGUUCGUAAAGAUGUGCAACCUCUGCAGAGUGUAAAACUGGUAUAUCAGCCGUGCUCACGGUCAUGAGCGGUUCGGACCCUCACAUGAGUAAUGUAUGAAAUUAAAUUUAACAUGUCAUGCAUUGUAUUGUGGGAAUUUCAUUAUGAUAUAUUAUUUUGAUUGGGAUGGUAUUUACUUAUACUAAGUAAUUGCUAAUAAAAUUUUGAACAACAAAGUUAAAAGCUAUGCUCGGCCUUAGCCGUUUUCCUUGGUAAGCCAUAUACACUACUGGACACAGUUGCGUUGCUGAGUGCUUCAAGCACUCAGCAAAGUCUUUGCCGAGUGUGACUCUCGGUGAACUGUACAUCGACAACAACUUCUUUGUAGAGUACUUUUUGUCGGGCACUCGACAAAGUCUUUGUCGAGUGCCAUCUAGUGCUUGGCAAAGAAAAGUCACCAUCAUGGUGACAAGUGACGGUGACUAAGACUUUGCCAAGUGUACUCACUUACACUCGGCAAAGAGGGAACCUUUACCGAAUGCCAGCCGGCCUGGCACUCAACAAAGCAGGCUCUAGUAGGCCCCCAUGGCACCAUAUGUGCCAAGAGCCGCAAGUUGGCACUCAGCAAAGGGAGCUUUUUUGCAGAGUGCCUGCCUGCCUGGCACUCGGCAAAGGGAGCACCAGUGGUCCCCUUUGCCAGUCCCUUUGCCGAGAGGCACUCGACAAAGGGUGCUUCUUUGCCGAGUGCUAGGACCACAAUACUCGACAACGAAGCUUUACCGGUUCCUAGGUGUGCCUUCUUUGUCUAACACUUUUGCCACUGUACUAGGCGAAGGAGCUCUUUGUCGUGUGUAACACUCGGCAAAGUGACUAGAAAAUUGUUUUUUAUUUGGUUUUAUUAUUCCAUCCAAACAAACAAAACAUAUAUCACAUAAUCAUCACAUAUACAUCACAAAGUGCACAGAAUCAUUACAUACAUAAUAGAUACCACAUAUCUCACAAAAACCACGAGUCUCACAAGUUUUUCACAAACAUAAGUUCUAUCACAAACAUAAGUAUCACAAAGACCACAACUCACACAAGUUCAGACCAAGUUUCACAAACAAGUUUGACAACCAUAAGAUCAUCUGCGAGGUUGCAGCUAGACUGUGUCAGCGAAGGGCUGAGCGAAGCGUGAGGGUUGUUCGAUGCCACCGAUUGUCCCUGCACAGAGAAGAGAUUGCAUGUGUGAGACCAGAUGAAUAUAUAUCAUGCAGGACUAAAAUUUUGAAACCCACAGGAGUAUGGAACCGAGUAGGGUCAACUAGAGGGAACAACAAAUGUGGUGGAGCAAGACCCUAUGCGGCGCCAAGGCUCUACAUGUAUUGGAACAUCUCCACCAUCCUCUGCUGAUCCACCAAGCGAGUCGCCCUUAUCCUCGCCUCCAUUUCUAUACGCGGCCUGCUGAUGACCCUUUGCCGAGGGUUACAUUUCACCGAGAGAUGGACACUCGACAAAGGCUACUAUGCUGAGCGUCUGAUUAUGCAGAGUGUUCACGCUCGACAAAGGAGGUCUGUGCCGAGUGUGUUUGUUCACUGAGAGUGGCGCUCGGCAAAACAUGUUUUGCCGAGUGCCCGAUAAAUUGUUGUCGACAAAGCAUCGGGCACUCGACAAAGAGCUUGUUUUCGGUAGUGACACUACACUUCUUGAGCCCCAAUAAUAAGUGAGUUCAUACACACUUUUCCCCAUACUUGUUGUGACACCUGGAUUUAAGGGAUAAAGCUGGGUGCGUCUCAUAUGUGCGCCAAAGAAGAACAUCACAUAUAAUGACAAAGUGUAUAGAGAUAAAUGUCACAAGUAUCAUUAUUACAUAGCGGAAGUCUUACAAAAAUAAAUGAUAACAAUAAAGCAAACUAAAUAUUCUUCCUUGGCGCCAACAAGCUGACUGGGAGACGCCACCUAGAUGAGCUCGUACUCUUCAUUGUAAGGCUCCUCCUGGACCACCUAUUCUUCUCCUGUGUGUGGGGGGGUUAUAUAUCGCAAGGGUGAGCUCACAAAAGAUCAUUGCUCAAAAAGUUGUGGCAAAUAAUGUGCAUGAACUCACCAAAGGUGGGAGCUCAUGUGAAGUGUAAGGCUGAUCAAUAAAUAAGGGGUAAAGCUGAGCAUUGCUUUUAUAAGUUGGUCAAGUUUUAUUAGAAGUUACUAAAUGUAAGUAGAUACCAAACCAGAGUAAUAAUAGAUCGAAAUUGAUAAUAAAUCCCAAUGUGAUGCAAAUGACAAAUUGAAUUUAGUUCCAUAAAUUAAUCAUGCAAGAGUCUUGAGCUGCUCAUGACCACGAGCACGACUAGUAUACCAAUUUUACACUCUGUAGAGGUUGUACCAUGUACCCACAAGUCGUGUAUCCCAUCUAGCCUUUGUUUGCAAGGCCCUUAGACACUGCCGAGGUGAAUGGCUAGGGAUCCACUACGAGGCCUUUACAAAGUUCCACUAGCUUCAGAAAACCCGCUACAGUUCUUGGAAGAGCAAUGCAGGAAUUCCCCGUCUGAUCGCCAUCAUAGCAAAAUCAACCUGAGAACCUCCCUACAUGCCUACUCCCCUACUACCCUUGCCCCUUUCGGGUAAGGUAGUCCUACACUAGCUUUCCUUGUUAGUCAGCCAAGGGUGUCCCAUUCCACCCUUGUGGUGGCACAUGUUUCUCAAGUUAAGCUCGAUGUUCCAAUUAACAUAGUGGUCUUAUCAUGAAAAGAAAUAGAACAAUAAUAAAGAAUGACCAUGUGUAAUAGUUUUCUCAACACCCAAAACCAUAUAUAGCAAUAACAAAGACUAACCAAAAGUUCAGGGGUAAACAAGGUGUAAAGAUAACCAGGCUAGGGUGACCUAUUGGGUCCCAUCAAAAUUAAGCCUAUGCAUGAUAAAUGAUUAUAGAGAACAUUAUUGGGUAAAUAAAAGUGGGCAAGGGCACAACUUGCCUUCAAUGAGCUCCUGCUCAGCAACUUCUACCUGCUGAACACCUGAAUCCUCGGCCACUGGCUCGUCUACUCGCCACAAUACAAACAAACAUGGUACCAGGGAGAAAUUAACAUCACACCAACCAUGAAUAUAGAAUAUAUAAUAAUUAUCUACACUUCAUAACGAGGUCGUAGGAACAAGAAUCACUAAAUUCGGAAUUACAGAUUUUAGGUUAUGAUUUUCCGAAGGUUUCAUGUGUUCGGUAUAGAAAUAAUUAAGUGAUCAAUUUUAAUACAUGUUUCAUGCUAAAACAGAGACACUAGGUGAUAAACAAUAUUAAUACCAAAUUAAUGCAACUAGAAUGGGUUCAAAAGGAGUUAACAUGUAUUUUCUAGGAAUUAAACAAGUUCUUGGAAUUAAUUUUGCACUAAUGAUUAUUUUCCAACUGAAUUUCCAUAGUGUAUUCCCUUAUUAGACCGCGCACAUUAUUAUCAAAACGUUCAGGGGCUUCUACGUAAACCGUUCUAAGACCAGAGCACUCUACGCUGGACUGCGGGUUCAUAUGCCAGAAAUGGAGGCGCUCUUGUGCUAAUGUCACUACAAGAAAUUUGUCCUUUUAUGACAAAAUACCUAAUGACAAGGUCAGUUAUUGUCAUAUAAUGUCACAUAAUAUGAUGGAAUUUUUUGAGUCGUCAUAAUUUCAUGAGGCCAUGAAGAUUUUAUGGCGAUAGUGUUUUUUUGUCACAUAAGGGUACGAAGAUUCGUCAUAUAUUGUCAGGCGCCAGAAGCUGGUAGACGGUUUUACUUUUAUGACGCUUAGAUGUGCCUUUAUUUGAUGAUUUGGCAGCGUCACUUUAUGUUUUUUCCAAAAAAGGACCGUACCCCUUUCUAUUGACCGCAUUCACUUUCCCAUCUCCCACCCAAGAUGACCAAAAUUUUCCUCCUACCUUAUCCUCUCGGCUGCUCACCUCCGCGUCCGCCCCCACCACCACGCGCCCGCCCCCAAAACCCCCACAAACCCUAGCCACCGCCAGCAAGGAAUGGCCGCCCUCCUGCGGCUUGCUGCAGCCCGAUCCGCCCUCCCCCGGCGCACCCUCGCCCCACACCAGAGGCUCGCGGCGGUCGCGGCCGUCGCGAUGGAGGAGUGGUGGUCCGACUAGGAGCAGGACGGCGAGGAGGAGGCGCGUGCCUCGGCACCGGCUGUCGGCCUUGACCCCGCCGGCGGGGGCCCCUGGGGCGUGCAGUGGGUCGUCAUGGGCCGCCCUGGCCCGCAGAAGCAUGCCCACGCCGCGCGCCUCGCCGAUGUGCUCGCCGUGCCCUACAUCUCCAUGGGCGUGCUCCUUAGGCAGGAGCUCAACCCCGCCUUGCAACUCUAUAGGAAGGUGGGUGGCUCCUGUUCCCCUGUCCGGUGCUCUGGGGGAGGCUCACGUUCCACUCCCCUCUCUUUGUCUGUGCUCCAGCUGCUCUGAUUCUGUGAUCUUGGGAGGUCUUAAUCAUCCUAGCUACGAUCUAGCCGUUUAACUUAUUUAAGUCCCUAGCCGCUAAACUACUCAGAGAUCAGCAAGUUCUCUAGGAAGGAUGCAGUGGCAUACCCAAGGUGCAGUUUAUCUUGGAAUGAUCUUAGAUUAAAUAAAUGUUUAAGUUCCUGAUUCCUGUGGUAUCUAUGUACAUUUUAGCUCUUUAUUACAAUGGUCUUGGUAGGAUCUGUAUGUGAAUGCAGAUACGAGGAGAAGCUGGAGAACUUCUGCAAGCUCAUGGACUUUGUCAUAGACUCAGCUCCACCUGAGUUGAGGCAGGAGGCCCACUUCUCGAUGGUUGACAGGAUGAAGCAUAGGGUUGAGAAGUCAGCAUUCUGGGGCCACCUUCUUCGGCAUGUGAUGCAGCAGGGGCAGAAGAACAUGGUGGAAUUCUUUGACCUACUCCUUUCUCCGGCAUCGAAAAUCUUGAACACCUGGUUUGAGAGUGAGGUUUUGAAGGCCACUCUUGCAACUGACGCCAUGAUAGGAGCUAUGGCUGGUGUCCACACUCCAGGUUCUGGAUAUGUUCUCCUACACCAUGUCAUGGGGGAGACUGGUGGUCAGCGUGGUGUUUGGGCGGCUUGGAUUGAAUGAAGAGGUUCCACCCAACAUGGAUUCGAAGACAAAGUUCAGUGAUGUCAAGGGAGUUGACGAAGCUAAAGCUGAACUUGAGGAAAUUGUUCACUACCUACGAGAUCCUAAGGCCGCACUUGAAGAAAUCUUAUAUCAGUUUGAGGAAAAACUCCAAGUUGAAAGAGAGGAAGCUGCUAGGAAGCAGGAAGAGUUGCAAGCACAACUACAAGCUCAACAGGUCGCACUUGAAGAAAACCAAAGUUUGCUGCGCCAGGCCCAAGUGGAAGUGAAGGGGAUGCAUACCAAGUUUGAAGAGACCAAUGCACUGCUACGAGUUGUCCUGAAACUUCAGAAAGAUUGAGGUAGGGAUGCAUACCAAGUCUGAGGAUGAUGCCUUUGCUUAAGGUUUUUCUACCUUGCUAGAACAUAUCUAUGGUUAGAACUUUGUCAGAACUACGUGCAAUCUGUUUGAAUGCUUCAAACCUUUGUGGUGGAACCUUUGUAUGUUUGAACCUCUUUUGUGGAAGAACUAUUGUGAUGGAAUUGUGUAUGACUUGUGAUGAGAAUGUUGUGUAUGAUGGCUUUUCUGUGUAUUAUGAUUCUGUGAGCUAUCAUGAGAGCUCAGUGUGUCGUCACUGUA
RNA transcript from Zea mays, 6253 nucleotides. It is a transcript of the gene named pyridine nucleotide-disulfide oxidoreductase domain-containing protein 2, with no coding region annotated. Lineage: Eukaryota; Viridiplantae; Streptophyta; Magnoliopsida; Poales; Poaceae. The record is from RefSeq and is a predicted model, not a curated record. The transcript has 7 exons.